This 362-nucleotide RNase P RNA is filed under the name Sphingomonas naphthae. RNAcentral's name for it is "RNase P RNA component class A". It matches the Rfam family "Bacterial RNase P class A". From Rfam's summary of the family: Ribonuclease P (RNase P) is a ubiquitous endoribonuclease, found in archaea, bacteria and eukarya as well as chloroplasts and mitochondria. Its best characterised activity is the generation of mature 5'-ends of tRNAs by cleaving the 5'-leader elements of precursor-tRNAs. Lineage: Bacteria; Pseudomonadati; Pseudomonadota; Alphaproteobacteria; Sphingomonadales; Sphingomonadaceae. The record is from RNAcentral.
CCAGAGGGCCGGGCGGCCGCCGGUGACGCAAGUCGCGGGAGGAAAGUCCGGGCUCCACAGAGUGACGGUGCCGGCUAACGGCCGGCGGGGGCGACCCCAGGGACAGUGCCACAGAAAGCAGACCACCGCAUUUCGAUGCGGCCAGGGCGAAAGGGUGCGGUAAGAGCGCACCGCGGCUCCGGUAACGGAGACGGCAUGGUAAACCCCACCGGGAGCAAGACCGAAUAGGGACGGCGCAUGGGCUACUCGGCCCGGUCGUCCGGGUUGGUUGCUGGAGGCGGCGCGCGAGCGUCGCCCUAGAGGAAUGGUCGCCUAAUCCCGCAAGGGAGGGACAGAACCCGGCUUACAGGCCCUCUGGCAUU